RNAcentral lists this transfer RNA (73 nucleotides) under Felis catus (domestic cat). It matches the Rfam family "tRNA". Rfam says of the family: Transfer RNA (tRNA) molecules are approximately 80 nucleotides in length. Their secondary structure includes four short double-helical elements and three loops (D, anti-codon, and T loops). Lineage: Eukaryota; Metazoa; Chordata; Mammalia; Carnivora; Felidae. The record is from Rfam by way of RNAcentral. RNAcentral also lists the same sequence under 2 other names.
GCCUGGCUGGCUCAGUCAGUAGAGCGUGUGACUCUUGAUCUCAGGGUUGUGAGUUUGAGCCCCAUGUUGGGUG